RNAcentral lists this ribosomal RNA (241 nucleotides) under Listeria monocytogenes. Its description in RNAcentral is "partial 16S ribosomal RNA". It matches the Rfam family "Bacterial small subunit ribosomal RNA", at positions 1 to 230 of the family's 1533-position model. The record is from RNAcentral. Lineage: Bacteria; Bacillati; Bacillota; Bacilli; Caryophanales; Listeriaceae.
UUAAAAGAGAGUUUGAUCCUGGCUCUGGACGAACGCUGGCGGCGUGCCUAAUACUUGCAAGUCGAACGAACGGAGGAUGAGCUUGCUCUUCCAUAGUUAGUGGCGGACGGGAGAGUAACACGUGGGCAACCUGCCUGUAAGUUGGGGAUAUCUCCGGGAAACCGGGGCUUUUUCCGAAUGUUAUAAUGUGGCGCAUGCCACGCUUUUGUAAGAUGGUUUCGGCUAUCGCUUUCAGAAGGGC